GCGUUGGUCGUGAAAUGUGCAUGAAACAAAUGUCUUAUUUUGUACGUGGUUCGGGGCUCUAAGUAGUAUUGUAAAAUUUCCGAACUCUAGAUUAUUCUAGACACAAUUUUAAUUUUUCAUUUUUUUCAUGUUAUCUAUAUGUUAGGAUCGCGCGAGCAUUGUUCUGAACGAUGCACAUUUUCCGCCCCUUGAAAUCGCGAGGAAACCUGAAAAUUGCUUUCAAAAUCUAGCAAUUUAUCGAUUUUCUUAAAAAAAAUGACGUGGUAACUGGGUUAUAUCGUGGGAACUAUUACUGGUUCACAUUACAGGUUACAUUAGUGGUUUUAAACGAUACACAUUUGCUGCCCCUCAAAAUCCCACGGGAACUGCCUGAAAAUUGAUCUUUAAAGCUGGUAAUUUUUUAUUUUUCUGAAAACACGUGGAAAUUGGGUGAUCUCUCAGCAACCGUUAGCGAGCGUAAAACGACGAAAUUGUUUGGGAACUCCCUGAAAAUUUCUCCCUAAAUCAGUUUACACAAACGCUGUUUGCCGAUCUUAUGGCCAUACCUAUAAUUUAGGAGUUUCUAAUACGGGCUGUAGAAAUUGAAAGGGAACUCGCAGCAGGGUCAUUUUUGCAUCAAGGUGGCUGGUGAAAUUAAACGGGAACUAAAAAGAAGGUCAUUUUUGCAUCAAAUUGGCUAUAGGCAUUGACCGGGAACUCGCAUCAAACUGACUUUUGAACCGAGUCUGACACUGUCGACGGACCAUUCUUGCAUCAGAUUGGAUUUUGCCCUUGAGUCUGACAUCGUAGAAGGACCAUUCUUGCAUCGGAUUUCAUUUUGAAUAGUUUUUGGGGUAUAUAUAAUAUGGAUUGUGUUUUAUUAAUUUUCGUUCAAGUGAGUGAAAUUGAAAUACCAAGAUGAGGUGAUAGCAGGAUAUUCCACACUUUGUUUAUACGUGCGGUUCGACGUUGGCUUGCGCUGCACGCUGUGCGCUGCAAUUUGAAAUUUGAACAGUACCCCACCGGUCGCCGUGUGUCGGCGUGUGCUGUUUUUCCUGUUCAAUCAGUCGGUGAUACGCAAUUGUGCUAUGUGCACGUGUUCCAUUUCUUCUCCGCUACUGUUCGUUGCGACUGUUAGUAUUUCGGACUCGAAACUUAAGACACCACGUGUGCGUGUGUAAGCCAUCAGUCGCCGGUCUUCGGAUCUCUUGCGUUGGGCUACGGAUUCCAAUUGGAUUUAUAGGCCAAUAUGGUAUUGUUAAUUAGAAGGGAUAAAUCACGCGUUUUCUCAGCGUGGCAUAGUUGUUAGUGCAAAAGUUAUGCAGUGAGUAGUAACAUCAAUUCUACUAACAAUUCUGCUUUGUGUGUAACAUUUCAUAAGAGAGCGUUGUGGCUCGAUGGUAUGUAGGAUAUGCCUUGGACCGUACGAACGUUCGUUUU
Molecule: long non-coding RNA, 1419 nt
Organism: Dalotia coriaria
Lineage: Eukaryota; Metazoa; Arthropoda; Insecta; Coleoptera; Staphylinidae
Exons: 9
Source: RefSeq, a predicted model, not a curated record